UACGGAGGGGGCUAGCGUUAUUCGGAAUUAUUGGGCGUAAAGGGCGCGUAGGCGGCCCGGUAAGUCAAAGGUGAAAUCCCUCGGCUCAACUGAGGAACUGCCUUUAAAACUGUCGGGCUUGAGGCCGGGAGGGGGUAGCGGAAUUCCCAGUGUAGCGGUGAAAUGCGUAGAUAUCUGGAGGAAUACCGGUGGCGAAGGCGGCAUCCUGGACCGACAGUGACGCUGAGGAGCGAAAGCUAGGGGAGCAAACGGG
RNAcentral lists this ribosomal RNA (253 nucleotides) under uncultured bacterium. Its description in RNAcentral is "partial 16S ribosomal RNA". It matches the Rfam family "Bacterial small subunit ribosomal RNA", at positions 524 to 776 of the family's 1533-position model. The record is from RNAcentral.